Molecule: long non-coding RNA, 210 nt
Organism: Saccostrea cuccullata (small rock oyster)
Lineage: Eukaryota; Metazoa; Mollusca; Bivalvia; Ostreida; Ostreidae
Exons: 3
Source: RefSeq, a predicted model, not a curated record
UGGAACCUGUCAAAAAGAAGAAAAUAAAGAUGCUCGUUCCGAUUUUAUGAUAUACGUGUAUGGAAGUGUUGCAGCCGUUUCCAUUCUGCUAUUAGUCUCGGGAGGUGCAGGUUACUUUUGGUACAAAAAAGCUCUAAGACUACGCAGGAUAGAGAAUGGAAAAAAAGAAAUCUGUGAGGAAAAAAAGAAGCAUUCAAAAAACAAUGCAUA